This 1169-nucleotide long non-coding RNA is filed under the name Paramuricea clavata. The stretch from base 1108 to 1164 matches the Rfam family "tRNA", at positions 9 to 63 of the family's 71-position model. Lineage: Eukaryota; Metazoa; Cnidaria; Anthozoa; Malacalcyonacea; Plexauridae. The record is from RNAcentral.
UUUAUUGGAGCAAAAAUUGGAAUCUAUUAAUUAAUAUGGCGAUGUUGUCAUUGUUGAUCAUGAUUUAGAAAAUGAGGAAACUCAAAUUACUGAUACGCCAGGAAAAUAUCUCGUGUGGAAAGUUCAUCAUUCACUCCAUUCAGUCGAGCUUUGUUUCGAAGUCCUGGCACAUCAGCAAAGGUAUAAUAAAAAAAAAUAUGGUAGACGAAAUUGUACUUAUAAAUGUACUGUUAUUCUUUGCUAUUUUAUUCUUAUAAAUUGUCUUUGUAUAUUCAGUGUUAAGCUGGAGUAAAUACGAGCAACAAAAUUGCUGCAACUUGCAACAAAAUCUGAUUUCAACGCAUGUACGAGGCAACAUUUCUAUGACUUGUAUUAAGUUAUGUGUCAACAUUCCCACUAACAUCCGUUGAAAUCAGAUUUUGUUGCAAAUUGCAGCAAUUUUGUUGUCUGUAUUACUCCACCUUAAUACCUCUGUGUAACAUUAUUCUGCAGUGUAACAUUAUUCAUGUAUGAUUAUUCAUAUGUCAUCUGCGCCCCAAUUUCCAUUUUAGUAAAUGACAUACUUUUUUGUAGUUUCCUAGCAGAAAGAUCAGGCUGACUCUGUCAGAGAAGUCACCAGUGAAAAAAACAUAAAUGGACCUUUGAGGAAAAUAAAGCUUUGAUCAAGUUGAUAUCUAUUGCCAAAAAAGAUCCAUGGGUCUGGAGAAAUUUUGUCCAUAAUAAAAUAAAAUAACAAUUUACCGCAUUAGCCUAGUAAUCUAUGUCACUGUUAUAAUGGGUCGUUCCAGAAAAGAUCCAUACUCCCCCCAAAGAGGAAAUUUCUGCCAUCCGGGGGGGAGGGGAGAAAAAAUUGUUUCUGAUAAUAGUAAAUGUAUUAGGACAUCCGAAGGGGGUAGGGGGGUUAACUUCCUAUUUCCUCCGUGGGGGCGGUAUGGAUGUUUUCUGGAAUGACCCAAUUGUAGGGAUCCAUAAUAAAAUAAAUACUGUAUGUAGGAAUCCAUAAUAAAAUAACAACAAUUUACAAUAUACUUCUUGUGUGUGUUGGUGUUAUUUACUCAGGUAUUCAUGUUUGUGAUGUUACUCUGAGUAUGCAUCCACACCGAGCUGAGCUCAGUUGGUAGAGCAUUGGACUAAUAUCCCAAAGAUGGCAGGUUCAAUUCCCACCAUGG